This 211-nucleotide ribosomal RNA is filed under the name Citrobacter sp. FB2. Its description in RNAcentral is "partial 16S ribosomal RNA". It matches the Rfam family "Bacterial small subunit ribosomal RNA", at positions 787 to 999 of the family's 1533-position model. The record is from RNAcentral. Lineage: Bacteria; Pseudomonadati; Pseudomonadota; Gammaproteobacteria; Enterobacterales; Enterobacteriaceae.
UUGGUAGUCCACGCCCUAAACGAUGUCUAUUUGGAGGUUGUGCCCUUGAGGCGUGGCUUCCGGAGCUAACGCGUUAAAUAGACCGCCUGGGGAGUACGGCCGCAAGGUUAAAACUCAAAUGAAUUGACGGGGGCCCGCACAAGCGGUGGAGCAUGUGGUUUAUUCGAUGCAACGGGAAAACCUUACCUGGUCUUGGCUUCCGGGAAAUACA